AUUGAACGCUGGCGGCAGGCUUAACACAUGCAAGUCGAGCGGAGAUGAGGUGCUUGCACCUUAUCUUAGCGGCGGACGGGUGAGUAAUGCUUAGGAAUCUGCCUAUUAGUGGGGGACAACAUUCCGAAAGGAAUGCUAAUACCGCAUACGUCCUACGGGAGAAAGCAGGGGAUCUUCGGACCUUGCGCUAAUAGAUGAGCCUAAGUCGGAUUAGCUAGUUGGUGGGGUAAAGGCCUACCAAGGCGACGAUCUGGAGCGGGUCUGAGAGGAUGAUCCGCCACACUGGGACUGAGACACGACCCAGACUCCUACGGGAGGCAGCAGUGGGGAAUAUUGGACAAUGGGGGAAACCCUGAUCCAGCCAUGCCGCGUGUGUGAAGAAGGCCUUAUGGUUGUAAAGCACUUUAAGCGAGGAGGAGGCUACUGAGACUAAUACUCUUGGAUAGUGGACGUUACUCGCAGAAUGAGCACCGGCUAACUCUGUGCCAGCAGCCGCAGUAA
This 501-nucleotide ribosomal RNA is filed under the name uncultured bacterium. RNAcentral describes it as "partial 16S ribosomal RNA". It matches the Rfam family "Bacterial small subunit ribosomal RNA", at positions 30 to 523 of the family's 1533-position model. The record is from RNAcentral.